Long non-coding RNA from Oryzias melastigma (Indian medaka), 2116 nucleotides. RefSeq lists it as uncharacterized. The transcript is spliced from 3 exons. Lineage: Eukaryota; Metazoa; Chordata; Actinopteri; Beloniformes; Adrianichthyidae. The record is from RefSeq and is a predicted model, not a curated record.
CCUGCAGCCGGAAGAGGCUGAGCGGCGACGAAGCGUAGGAGUUGCUGGGCGCCAAGCCGCCGCCGCUCAGGCUGCUGGAGGACGGCAGGGCGGGAGAGCUCAGCGGCGAAUCUGACGGGCAGAGAGAGAAGGCUGGGGGCGUGUCUGCUGCUGUUCCUACCUGGCGUGGGGCUGAGCCGUCUGCAGGUGGGGGAGCUGCUCCUCGCCUGAGCUGCCGGCCCCCCCUCCCCUCUCAUCUCCUCCUCCUCCCUGUCGGCGUUAUCCUCCACCGCCGACUCGCCGUCUGACGGCUCCGGGGAGGUGACGUUGACCUCCACGCUCAUCUCACCCGCUUGGGGCCGCGCCGCCGCCGCCAGCCGCUCAGACUCAGAGGAGGGGGGAGGAGGAGGAGUGCGGGGCUCGGGAGCUGGGGUGGUGGCGGAGGUGGUCUCGGUUUUGGCGUCCUCUGUGGACCCCUCGGCGGCCGCAGACGCCUCCUUCUGCUUCUGGAGCUGCUCCUUCUGGAGGCUGCGCUGCUUCUUCCGGAACUUUGCUCGGCGGUUCUUGAACCAGACCUGCCACACAAAAGCGUCCUCCAGCGUGCAGGAUGACGCUCCUCCGUCAGAUUCAGCUCUGAUUCCUGUGGAUCACGACUUUCUGCUGAUUUUCUUCCCUUUGGCUUGUUAAACUUCUCUUCCGAUCUGAAUCUUUCUCUCCGUCCUCCAGAACCUCCAUCCCUGCAGCAGGCCCAAUCAACGCCGAGAUUUAUAAAUCCUCUGCAGCGUUUAGUCAGGUUUAUUACGCGUGGAUAUUUGUAAUUUUACCCCUUCAGUGGAGAAAGUUGAUUCAGCUCUAAAGCCCAUUAACUUUGAUCAUUAUUUCUCUGUUACUUCCUGAAGCCGCUCGCUUUCAGAGCGCCUCCUCCUUGCUCGGAUUCAAGGUUAGCUUGUGCUCAUUUGGCUGAAAUUAAUCAUUUUGAUGCAUGGCUCAGAAUUGACUGCUUCUGUGGGACUGCUGUGACUGCAGUAACAAAGCGCCUUGCCAUUGGCAAUCCUUUGUAUUAAAGGGGAAUUCACCUCUAAGACAGCCUCACACGCGGCGCCGUUCUGAUCUCCGAGGAGUCCAAGCCCAAACUCCUCUAUCUUGUAGGAAACUCCAAACCGGCUCCUUCAGUCGGGGAGAACUCGACGAUAAACCGUCGCUUGUCAUUCGCUACAUUUUUAGAUAUUUUCUCCACUUUGGUUCCUUUUAUGGAAAAAACAAAACAGUGAUGGAACGAAGCGCCUCUUCCUGAUCCAUUCUGGGCCAACAGAACUCAAAGUCCGUGCUUCAUGUUGACCCAACGUCUCCAGAACAAACCGACCGUCACAUCUACGUUUCAGAAUCUAGAAAAACCAGCAGCUGUCCAACAUGACAUAAACAAAGAGUCCAGAAUGUGAAGGUCACAGAAAGGUCAAAGUUUCAUUUCAGCCUAAAGAGACUGCAAGGCGUUUGAAUAUAUUAUUAAUAUAAUUUCCCUUGGGAAUAAUAAAGUAUCUAUCUAUCUAUCUAUCUAUCUAUCUAUCUAUCUAUCUAUCUAUCUAUCUAUCUAUCUAUCUAUCUAUCUAUCUAUCUAUCUCAAAAUAGUUUUUAUUUAUGAUAAAAUUAAGUUCAUUCAUUCACCUUCUUGUUCGCUUUUUCCCUUUCGGGGUCGCGGGGCUGCUGGAGCCUAUCCCGGCUACUGAUGGGUGAAGGCGAGGUUCACCCUGGACAGGUCGCCAGUCUGUCGCAGUAAUAUUAAGUUCUACUUUCAUUAUGUCUUUAUUUUUGUUGUGAAAAUUCAAACUUCAAGGUUUUAAUUUUGAAAUCUCGCCAAGUUUUUUGUGUGGUUUCAUUUAGUCGGUUUCACUUUCUUAUUUUUUUAUUUUUCUUCCACAGGAUUUUUAGAACGUAAAAACUCAAUCACACUUUCAGCGAUUUCUGCAAACUUGUGAUCAAAACGUUCAGCUCGUUCAGGACAUUAUCACUUGUAUUUUUGGUAUUUGUCAACUUCACAGUUUUUGCAAUUUUGUGCAAUUCAUGUGAUUUUUCAGUCCCAUUGAAAUGAAUAGGAAUUUUUCAAUUUCUGCAAUUAAAAACAUUCAACAUGUUCAGGAAA